UACGAAGGGGGCUAGCGUUGCUCGGAAUCACUGGGCGUAAAGGGUGCGUAGGCGGGUCUUUAAGUCCGGGGUGAAAUCCUGGAGCUCAACUCCAGAACUGCCUUUGAUACUGAAGAUCUUGAGUUCGGGAGAGGUGAGUGGAACUGCGAGUGUAGAGGCGAAAUUCGUAGAUAUUCGCAAGAACACCAGUGGCGAAGGCGGCUCACUGGCCCGAUACUGACGCUGAGGCGCGAAAGCUAGGGGAGCAAACGGG
This 253-nucleotide ribosomal RNA is filed under the name uncultured bacterium. RNAcentral's name for it is "partial 16S ribosomal RNA". It matches the Rfam family "Bacterial small subunit ribosomal RNA", at positions 524 to 776 of the family's 1533-position model. The record is from RNAcentral.